This 513-nucleotide ribosomal RNA is filed under the name uncultured bacterium. Its description in RNAcentral is "partial 16S ribosomal RNA". It matches the Rfam family "Bacterial small subunit ribosomal RNA", at positions 28 to 523 of the family's 1533-position model. The record is from RNAcentral.
GACGAACGCUGGCGGCGUGCCUAAUACAUGCAAGUCGAGCGGACUAAUGGGAGCUUGCUCCCGUUAGUUAGCGGCGGACGGGUGAGUAACACGUGGGCAACCUACCUGUAAGACUGGGAUAACUUCGGGAAACCGGAGCUAAUACCGGCUGACAUAAAGGAACUCCUGUUCCUUUAUUGAAAGAUGGCUUCGGCUAUCACUUACAGAUGGGCCCGCGGCGCAUUAGCUAGUUGGUGAGGUAACGGCUCACCAAGGCGACGAUGCGUAGCCGACCUGAGAGGGUGAUCGGCCACACUGGGACUGAGACACGGCCCAGACUCCUACGGGAGGCAGCAGUAGGGAAUCUUCCGCAAUGGACGAAAGUCUGACGGAGCAACGCCGCGUGAGCGAUGAAGGCCUUCGGGUCGUAAAGCUCUGUUGUUAGGGAAGAAUAAGUGCUAGUUAAAUAAGCUGGCACCUUGACGGUACCUAACCAGAAAGCCACGGCUAACUACGUGCCAGCCGCCGCGGUAA